GCUUUCGUGGUGUAAUGGUCAGCACACUUGGCACUUUAUUCGAGAGAUCCGAGGUUCGAGUCCCGGCAAGGACA
Molecule: transfer RNA, 74 nt
Filed under: Stegodyphus mimosarum
Lineage: Eukaryota; Metazoa; Arthropoda; Arachnida; Araneae; Eresidae
Rfam family: tRNA
About the family: Transfer RNA (tRNA) molecules are approximately 80 nucleotides in length. Their secondary structure includes four short double-helical elements and three loops (D, anti-codon, and T loops).
Source: Rfam by way of RNAcentral